GGGCCCCGCACAAGCAGCGGAGCGUGUGGUUUAAUUCGAUGCUACACGAAGAACCUUACCAGGGUUUGACAUGCAAGUGGUAGGAAACCGAAAGGCGACCGACCCUUCGGGGAGCUUGCACAGGUGCUGCAUGGCUGUCGUCAGCUCGUGUCGUGAGAUGUUCGGUUAAGUCCGCUAACGAGCGCAACCCUCGCUGUGUGUUACAAGUGUCACACGGUACUGCCGGUCUUAAGCCGGAGGAAGGUGGGGAUGACGUCAAGUCAGCAUGGCCUUUAUGUCCUGGGCUACACACACGCUACAAUGGCCAACACAAUAGGUUGCUAAGCCGCGAGGUGGAGCCAAUCCUCAAAGUUGGUCUCAGUUCAGAUUGCAGGCCGCAACCCGCCUGCAUGAAGAUGGAGUUGCUAGUAACCGCAGGUCAGCUAUACUGCGGUGAAUACGUUCCCGGGGCUU
RNAcentral lists this ribosomal RNA (453 nucleotides) under uncultured Leptolinea sp. RNAcentral's name for it is "bacterial SSU rRNA". It matches the Rfam family "Bacterial small subunit ribosomal RNA", at positions 916 to 1382 of the family's 1533-position model. The record is from RNAcentral. Lineage: Bacteria; Bacillati; Chloroflexota; Anaerolineae; Anaerolineales; Anaerolineaceae.